UGGGGAAUAUUGCACAAUGGGGGAAACCCUGAUGCAGCGACGCUGCGUGAACGAAGAAGGUAUUCGUAUCGUAAAGUUCUGUCCUAUGGGAAGAUAAUGACAGUACCAUAGAAGAAAGCUCCGGCUAAAUACGUGCCAGCAGCCGCGGUAAUACGUAUGGGGCGAGCGUUGUCCGGAAUUAUUGGGCGUAAAGGGUACGCAGUCGGUUUAAUAAGUCGAAUGUUAAAGAUCGGGGCUCAACCCCGCAAAGCAUUGGAAACUGAUAAACUUGAGUAGUGGAGAUGAAAGUGGAAUUCCUAGUGUAGUGGUGAAAUACGUAGAUAGUAGGAGGAAUACCAGUAGCGAAGGCGACUUUCUGGACACAAACUGACGCUGAGGUACGAAAGCGUGGGGAGCAAACAGG
RNAcentral lists this ribosomal RNA (403 nucleotides) under bacterium. RNAcentral describes it as "partial 16S ribosomal RNA". It matches the Rfam family "Bacterial small subunit ribosomal RNA", at positions 355 to 776 of the family's 1533-position model. The record is from RNAcentral.